UUGGGCCCAAGCUCGAGCUUGCAAAUAAACCCUCAUGCGUUUGCAUCGGUAUCGGCUCCUUGGUGGUCUCUCGGAUUCGAAAUUGGGGGCAUUACACCCCUCAACCUAAAUGCAGGCUAUAACAUCAGUUACACAGCUGGGGGAACGAACCACUGUUGUUGGAACCUAGGCAGAGCUGCCUAUAGCAUCCAGCAAAACAAACAAACAAACAAAAAACCCUGGAAACCAAAAGCACCAAGGGCCUUGGAGGAGCAAAGGGGGAAGAGAACUGUGAAAGCCGGUCUCCUCACUCCACCACAGGCUUCAGAAGACUCCAUCAGAUGAUGUAGAUUAAAGAAAAGUUGGGGCGCCUAGGUGGCUCAGUCGGUUUGGUGUCCAACUUUGGCUCAGGUCAUGAUCUCUCUGUCCAUUAGUUCGAGCCCUGCAUUGGGCUCUGCGCUGACAGCUCAGAACCUGAAGCCCACUUCUGAUUCUGUGUCUCCCUCUCUCUCUCUGCCUCUCCCCCACUCGUACUCUGUCUCUCUGUCUCUCAAAAAAAUAAAUAAACGUUAAAAAAAAAUUUUUUUUUAAGAAGAAGAAAAGUUAAUCAG
Molecule: long non-coding RNA, 590 nt
Organism: Panthera uncia (snow leopard)
Lineage: Eukaryota; Metazoa; Chordata; Mammalia; Carnivora; Felidae
Exons: 3
Source: RefSeq, a predicted model, not a curated record